AACAAAACAGUUAUGGCUCAACCAAACCGAGGAAGUCUUACAAGAUGGUCAAAUUCCAGAUUUGAUGCAUAGUGAGGAUGAAAUAGCAGAAAAAAACUUGGAAAGAAGGAUGAAAGAGCUAAAGGCAUUGAUAAUGCAAAUGAUAGUCAAAUCGCAAUAGAAUGCACAAAUUCAGAAACAAAAAAGUCAUCAGAAGGAAAUAUCAAGACCAUAGAUCCAUGAGGAAGCUUGUAUAUUGAUGAGAUUCAACUAUUGAGUGAAG
Molecule: long non-coding RNA, 262 nt
Filed under: Nicotiana benthamiana
Lineage: Eukaryota; Viridiplantae; Streptophyta; Magnoliopsida; Solanales; Solanaceae
Description: long non-coding RNA (NBEN_LNC016182)
Source: RNAcentral